GGCGCCAUCGGGCCAGUCCGAGCCCGGUGGGGUGGGGUCGAGGAGCGGCUGUUUCGGACGCCCCGCCCACCGCAACCUUCUAGGAAGCCGCCGUUGGCUAUAUAUAGCGCCGAUGUGGAGCUUUUGGUGCUCAAUUGCUGCUUUAAUCAAAUCGAGAGGCGUCUUGACGAGACUUCAGUUUUUAGGCAGGGGAAACAGUUUCUCUCUGUGACGGGAAAUUUGAGGAGGAAAGUCAGGGUUUCGCUUCAGGAAAGCAUAUCAUUCCUCCACUGACAUGCACAGAAUACAGUGCACCCCCUACCCAUGUUCUUGCUGGUUCAUUUACAGUGUCAUAUUCGGGGGGUGGCCUGUGUUCAUAUAGUAAACCAGGCGAGAGCUGAGGGUGCCAAGUAAAGAGGGGCACCAACUCUGAGGGGAACUUUCAGAACCCUGCUAACAUAUGCCUCACCUCAGCUUUUUACUAAGGUUCCUGGGCAAGUUACUUCUUGUUAGACCAUCUGUGAAAUGUUUUGUUUGCAGUAGUGAAUAUUUGGAUUGUUCAAACUCCCAUGGCAGCCAUUUUGUGACUGGGCCUGUCCUGUCUGUGGCACUUUUUCAAAAUUCCAAAUGUGCCCAUGGGUUCAAAAGCUAAGGAAUACUUGGCCACCGCCAAAGUUCGUUCAGGGUUGUGAUUAAUUUUUUCAGUCUGCCAAGAAUCUCAAGUUGUGACUUCCAGUCAAGUUCGCCGUAUGAAUCCAUGAGGAGCAAUUCUUCAGGCACUUCUUGGUUGCCAGCUCGGUCUUCCGAAUGGUGGGAUCUCCAACUUACAGUAUGUCUCUCUGGUUAAGAAGGCAGGCACUGCCAUACGUGUGGAUACACAGAUUGGAGGGGGGUGCCAAGGGGAAGCAGCUGCCCACUAACCUCUGGACAUCUUUCCUGUGGUGCCCACCCUCAGUCCGAAUGCAAUCAGAAGUGUCGCCAUUUCCAACCCCAAGAUGAUUGGGAAGCAGGUUCAGGGGAUUCCAUCUGAGAGGCCCAGGAAGAGGAAGUAGAACUUGAAGUGGCUAAUUUUGGAGCUCCCCGCUCUGCACGUGUGAGCAUCAGGCUGUGCCAUCCUGCACACUCCAACACACAUUCCCGUCACCCCUAAACGGGGCUUUCCUCAAACAGCCUCUCCAGAUUUUGAAACUCUUCCACCCUCUGCCGUGCAUUGGACCUCCGUGCUCACUUGUUCCACGUUUGUGCUCUUCCUCGACCCAAUCCUGGUCUCAGUGAGGCUCUUGAGAAGAAGUGACCUAAAAGCGAGCGAGCGAGCAAGCAGCGAGUUGAGCUAAGACCACGCAGUGCAUUCAAAGUACUUACAAAGCUCACAAACAGUGAUAUGGAAAAUGAAAUUAGCAGCAGAAGUAUUAAAAUAUUGAUUUAUUUUUAUUUUUAUUUAUUAUUCAAUUUAUAUACCGCCCUUAGCGAAAUAGCUCUCAGGGCGGUGAGCAAGCAUUCCUAGACCAGGCUUUGCCUAUCAAUAAUUCAGUUUACCUUCAAAGACAGUGUAAGAUUUUGGACUUUGCUUUAACAUGUUUUCACUUGGCAUGAUGGGUUUGGGUGUGUUUUUUAAUUCCUUCUGAGCAGGAGGUCUCUGGCAAAUAACAUUCAUUCUUCUGUGGUCAGUAGCUGGAAUUUGCUUUGAGUGGCUUCAUAAAGGGAGGGAAAACUUGGGCGAGGGCUGUGGAGCCUUGCUUGGGACGAGGAGGUGCUCUGGGCUUCUCCUUAUCCUCGGCCAAGUCAGGAGGGUUGUAUGCAUGUGGGGCUGGGGAAUGAUAUUUUUGGCAGCCCCCCGGAGCUUUCAGAAAAGAUUGGGAAGAGUUGUGUCAUUCAUUGCUAAUGGUGCUAUAACAAAUCCCCGGGAGAGGGUCUGAUGAUGCUGGCGCACAACAACCACUUUCCACACAGCAGCCUCAAUGAUACUUGUGGAGGCACCAUUGAGAGAGGCUCAGAGUGUAUGUUGAUGAAUGCCUUGUGGUGUUGUGUGUGCAAUUGUGAACAUCAUCUAAGCCUUCCUGCCCCCUUCCUAAGCGAGGCUUGUUGUUCCCCCUUGUGGGCAGGAAUGGGCUCCUAAUCCAGUGCAGGCUGGUCCAACAGGGCGAAUGGGGGGCACUGCCCCACCAAUCACAGCCUGGCUUCAGCCAGCCCCCACCUGCCUGUCUUCUGACUGGCAACCAAUCCAGGGGUGGCUCUGCCUCCUGCCCCAGUGAGCACCAGCUGCCACUGCCCCUCUUCCACGCCCAUUGAAAAGGGACUCACAGGCCAGACCCCAGCUGGCUGUGUGCCUGUUGCCUGCAGCAAGGUCCAAAGGAGAGUCCCUCAGGGCCAGAGCACUGUGGGCUUUGUGUGUGCAUGGGUGUACCUGCACCUGCACUUGCUUGACAAGGAAGAGCCGCCUCCAUUGGUGAUCAAGUCCUGUUAAGAAGGGCAUGGAGCCACACACUUUCCAGAUGAAAUCUGCUGAAUUAAAUCUGCAUGUUAGACUUUUAUCUUACAGGCAUUUUUUAAAAACCUCUCUUGCUGUGGAAAGUGGGGGAAAGCACAAAACAUGUAACCUGAGCAUUGCCCCAGGCAACAUACACAGGAGUGGGGGAGAGAUAAACUGUGCUUAUGCAUCACACACACACACCCAUGUGUGCAUAUGUCUGUGGCAGAGAGGUACAUGUGGAGAUUUGGGAAGCUGCUGACCUUUUUUUCUGCAAGAUCAUAUCCCUUGCGAGCAACCCACUCAUGCUUAAAUUAUUAGCUAAGGCUGUUUGCUCAAGGUUUCCUGACUGCAUUUUGCUGGGAGGUGUUGGGAAAUUCUUUGCUGUAUUGCCAUGUAAUCUGCUCUUGCCCUUUUGAUUUUUUUUUAAUUUUUAAAAAACUGU
Molecule: long non-coding RNA, 2891 nt
Organism: Rhineura floridana
Lineage: Eukaryota; Metazoa; Chordata; Lepidosauria; Squamata; Rhineuridae
Exons: 5
Source: RefSeq, a predicted model, not a curated record